This 87-nucleotide transfer RNA is filed under the name Fusarium proliferatum. It matches the Rfam family "tRNA". From Rfam's summary of the family: Transfer RNA (tRNA) molecules are approximately 80 nucleotides in length. Their secondary structure includes four short double-helical elements and three loops (D, anti-codon, and T loops). Further hydrogen bonds mediate the characteristic L-shaped molecular structure. tRNAs have two regions of fundamental functional importance: the anti-codon, which is responsible for specific mRNA codon recognition, and the 3' end, to which the tRNAs corresponding amino acid is attached (by aminoacyl-tRNA synthetases). tRNAs cope with the degeneracy of the genetic code in two manners: having more than one tRNA (with a specific anti-codon) for a particular amino acid; and 'wobble' base-pairing, i.e. permitting non-standard base-pairing at the 3rd anti-codon position. The record is from RNAcentral. Lineage: Eukaryota; Fungi; Ascomycota; Sordariomycetes; Hypocreales; Nectriaceae.
GCGUAUGGUUUAGUGGUAAAAUUCUCCGUUCUCCGUUGCCAUUCGAGCAGCGUCGGGGAGCCCAGGGUUCGAUUCCCUGAUUACGCA